Pseudophryne corroboree (corroboree frog) is the source of this 2253-nucleotide long non-coding RNA. RefSeq lists it as uncharacterized. The transcript is spliced from 4 exons. The record is from RefSeq and is a predicted model, not a curated record. NCBI's taxonomy places the organism in Eukaryota, Metazoa, Chordata, Amphibia, Anura, Myobatrachidae.
GCUUGGAUAAGUGUCCUUUUAAGUUGUUUAAAGCCUACGAACCAAAAUCCUCUUGGCUGGGAAGUGAUGACAGUAACUGGUCACACCUAUGAGAGAACUGUGAUAUGUUCUACGUACAAUCUAGAAAUAUGGACAAGGUUGAACAUGCAACAACCACAUUCUUUUGUAAAUCGUCUAGAAUUCACCCCCUCACCAUUACUAUAUAUCAUGCAUGGUGUAUGUGUUGUGGAAACCUUUUAUUUGAUUUUAAAUAUAUGGUGUAUUUGGAGGAAUAACUCAAUUUCAGGAUAGCAACUGCAGACACUGAUGAAAUGUCUACAUGUUAGAAUGUCGACAUUUCGUACCUGGUGGCCCAGUGGUGACUUGCGGGUCUCGGCGAGCAUGUGAUCAGAUCCCGAUGCUCCAACAUCCCAGAAAGUUGCGCAGGAGUAAAAGUACAGUGGUCAGCAUUAUGUUCUAGAAUAUAAACACAGUUACUUGCAUCACGGCAGUGGAUUUUAAUGAACCUUAAAACAGGCCACAUCUCUAAUCUUUAUUCAAUUUAACCACGUUCCAGUGAAUAGAAGCGGCAGAGACCUGCAAAGCUAUUCCUGCAGCAAACCAUUUACCAGUUAUAUAAAGAACAAUGUGGAAACCAAUAAUUUCAAGUCUCCCAUCACUGGUGUUCCAGUUGUUGCAGAAUGAUCACCGUGCGCCUUACUACACGGAUCUACAGUAACUCUUAUCUGCCCGUUUUAUUUAAAUUACUAACUUUGGGCUAAAUUCCAUUAGCUGCCAGCAGCUGCUGGAACCGCUUCGGAACAGUUGUAGUGGAUUUCUGAUUGCAGCAUGUGGAGGUGUGAGCAGAGAUCAUUGUGCAUGAAUGCAGCCCCCCUCCUAGAAUUGGAACCUUUCUGUCAGUGACGUUAUAUAGCAUUGUGUAAUCAGCAACUAAGGAUUCCUUAAUAUUAAUGACAUUGUACAUUAACAGCCAAAGUCUGAAUGUAAAUAAUUGACUCCAUUACCCCCCCUCCACAUAUAAAUAUCUUUAAACUUUGUCCCUAGAGAGAAAAAUGACUAAAUACGAAGCUGCUAUAUAUUUAAAAUGUGUGUUUAUUAUGAUAUUGAGACAACUCUCUAAUCCAUGCCAUGCCUGCAAAUUGUAUAAAUGUAGCAAACACUUUGCCAUUAUUUCUGUGUUGGCGAACAUGAAGUUAUAAUGUGGAAAAAGUAAGUACACUGCUAGUGCUGCCAUGUUUAUAGAGAACAUAUCUGUUCUCUGUCCGUUCAUAUAGGAUAACGGAUAUAUUAUAUUAUAAUGUGUUAAUUUUAUUGGAACAUAACAUACUUCAAGCAGUUGCAGCACUUUAUUCAAUUCCCAGAAUGUGUUGGCAGUUUUGUGUAGUCCUCUUUGAUAGAGUAUGAUUAAAUAGCAGUAAUUAAUUAGCUAUUAAGGAUACAUCAUGUAAUGAUGGGAAUCUUAGCAGCAUAAUCACAAAGGUGAGAUUUACUUUGACAAUCGAUGCUUUGAGCAGUGAAGACACAUCACUGUAAAAGGUUUCCGCACAUUUUCUUUUGAAUUCACUUCAAUGUCAGGCUUGUUUUGAUUUUUAUUUAAACAAUAAAUGUGAUUCCAGCGACUGAGUCACCGGCAAGCGAGGUUUCACUUUAACCUCACACCAGUUUAGAGAUCAGCUACUCAAUCUGUUAGAGCACAGUCAACCACUUAUCUCUUUUAAAACCACUGAAGCAUUGAAGAUUUGCUGAUACUGUGAUCUGACAGAGUUCCCAACAUCACCGUAUACAGGAAUCUGUAUGCUAUGAUUAUUCCCGGCCUCUGCUGCUUACACAAUGUGCUUGUAUAUGUAUUCAUGUGUAUAUAUUAAACACACGCACGCAGUUUGUGCAGAUCUCCAAUAGGGCUACUGUAAUGGUCUCAUUUCCUGCCAUCUAAGUUACUAUGGAAGAUAUUAUUCCCAUCGAGAAUGGCCCCGGCGAAGCACAAUUAUUUUUUUAAGCGUCUCAUUUUUUCAUUCCGUAGCAUUUAGUGCUGAUUAUUUAAUUGCAUACAGCUGAAGCUGCUAAAUGAGCAAGGAAAUAGAUUUAGCUCCUCUCCAAGCUUUUCUGCCACCUAUAAAAAUAUAUAUCAUUCAUUAAGGCUGUAGGAUUUUUCUGUCUCCAAGUGACUGAACGAUGGUUAAGCAGCAGAGUUUUUACACUAGUGCAGAAUGUGAUUUGUAAGCCUUAGCCUGCCGGAAACUUACUCACAUUUCA